RNAcentral lists this ribosomal RNA (341 nucleotides) under Salmonella enterica subsp. enterica serovar Durham. RNAcentral's name for it is "bacterial SSU rRNA". It matches the Rfam family "Bacterial small subunit ribosomal RNA", at positions 110 to 454 of the family's 1533-position model. The record is from RNAcentral. Lineage: Bacteria; Pseudomonadati; Pseudomonadota; Gammaproteobacteria; Enterobacterales; Enterobacteriaceae.
GUAAUGUCUGGGAAACUGCCUGAUGGAGGGGGAUAACUACUGGAAACGGUGGCUAAUACCGCAUAACGUCGCAAGACCAAAGAGGGGGACCUUCGGGCCUCUUGCCAUCAGAUGUGCCCAGAUGGGAUUAGCUUGUUGGUGAGGUAACGGCUCACCAAGGCGACGAUCCCUAGCUGGUCUGAGAGGAUGACCAGCCACACUGGAACUGAGACACGGUCCAGACUCCUACGGGAGGCAGCAGUGGGGAAUAUUGCACAAUGGGCGCAAGCCUGAUGCAGCCAUGCCGCGUGUAUGAAGAAGGCCUUCGGGUUGUAAAGUACUUUCAGCGGGGAGGAAGGUGU